GUAAGGAAUAUUGCUCAAUGGGAGAAAUCCUGAAGCAGCAACGCCGCGUGGAGGAUGAAGGGUCUAUGACUUGUAAACUCCUGUAAAGAAGGAAAAAAUUCCCAUUAGAUGGGAGAUGAUGGUACUUCUGGAGUAAGCCCCGGCUAACUACGUGCCAGCAGCCGCGGUAAUACGUAGGGGGCAAGCGUUGUCCGGAUUUACUGGGUGUAAAGGGUGCUCAGUCGGAUUUGUAAGUCAGAGGUGAAAUCUUACAGCUUAACUGUGAAACUGCCCUUGAUACUGCAAGCCUAGAGUAUGGAAGAGAGUGAUGGAAUAUCUGGUGUAGCAGUGAAAUGCGUAGAUAUCAGAUAGAACACCGAUGGCGAAGGCAGUCACUUGGUCCAUUACUGACGCUAAAGCACGAAAGCGUGGGUAGCAAACA
Molecule: ribosomal RNA, 421 nt
Filed under: uncultured bacterium
Lineage: Bacteria
Description: bacterial SSU rRNA
Rfam family: Bacterial small subunit ribosomal RNA
Source: RNAcentral